RNAcentral lists this ribosomal RNA (211 nucleotides) under uncultured bacterium. RNAcentral describes it as "partial 16S ribosomal RNA". It matches the Rfam family "Bacterial small subunit ribosomal RNA", at positions 280 to 486 of the family's 1533-position model. The record is from RNAcentral.
UACAUAGGGGUUCUGAGAGGAUGAUCCCCCACACUGGUACUGAGGACACGGACCAGACUCCUACGGGAGGCAGCAGUAGGGAAUAUUGGUCAAUGGACGCAAGUCUGAACCAGCCAUGCCGCGUGCAGGAAGACGGCCCUCUGGGUUGUAAACUGCUUUUAUAUAGGAAGAAACCCCUGAAUGCGUUCGGGGCUGCACGGUACUAUAUGAA